This 87-nucleotide unclassified non-coding RNA is filed under the name Pseudomonas azotoformans. Lineage: Bacteria; Pseudomonadati; Pseudomonadota; Gammaproteobacteria; Pseudomonadales; Pseudomonadaceae. The record is from RNAcentral.
GUGGGAGCGGGCUUGCUCGCGAAUGCAGUGUGUCAGUCAACAGAUUUACAGCUGAUCCACCGCAUUCGCGAGCAAGCCCGCUCCCAC